CGUAAGCGUUAUAAAAAACCUAAUGCUUUCAGAUUUUUUGCAUUAGUCUUGAACAUAAUCCAAGGAUUUUUGCACGCAGGCUUAUUCAACUCAGUUAAAAUUUUUAUCUUAUAGAUAGAAAAAACAGCAAUUGAAUAUAUUCUUAAAUGCACAGUUACAACCGAGAAGAAGUUUUUUAACAUUGUUAUAUCGUUAAAAAAAACUUUAUGAAACUUAAAAUUGUUACCUGGGUUAUUUCAAUUGAGAUUACAACGACGCAUAAAUAUAAGAAUACCCUUUUUCUAGGCCCUAUAUCCUUCAAUCCAUGUUGCAGAGAAAUAUCGCUUCUCUACCACCUCCCACUCUCUAAAAAAAAUGGAAUCCCCCUCUUACUCUCUCAAAAAAAAAGAAAUCCCCAUGAUGAUGAUGACGCCGCCGCCGCACGCCGUUUGGGAAAUAGUGAGAUUUCAUUGGUUAGAAGUUUAGUUCCGACGACAUUCGAUCGUCUGCGCUGCUACUGCGCCCUCUUUCGAUAUUUUCGGCGACGAGAAGAAGGAGGGAAGAAACGCAAAACCAAGACUCGCUCGCGAUCGACCGCGGCGAAGGGAGGUUGGACUUUCAUUUCGGUUUUGAUUCCAGAAAUAGAAAAGAUGUUGCAGUCUUCUAGUAGGACUGUGGUGGAAUCUGACAGUGUGCCUUUUUUCAAGACUCAAAUGAGUCCUUCUUCAACCAUGAUCUCCAGCCAGCAAUCCAGUUUCUUUACGCUCAACUCAAAAGAACAUGUUGCUACCUCAGCUACUUCAUCUAUAUUUCAGCAAGAAACGCCAUUAAUCCAAGCAAACACACAGAAUAGCCAGCAUAUUCAACACUCAAGACAGCCUACUCUUAGGCAUAAUGCUAGGCAACAACAGCAGAAGCAUGGAACUGUCGAAGAGUCAUCAGAGAAGCUUGGUUCCCUUCACUCGAAACUCCACCAAGAAGCCGACAAGAUACGUAAAUGGAAAGUAGACAUUGAAAUGGAUGUAAAGUACAAGGAAAGAAAACUGACCGAGUGUCAACAAACUAUUGAGUCACAAAGAAAAUCCAUCCUUGAAUUGCAGCUUCAGAAUGAAAACCUAAGUCAGAAGUUACAACUUGAAAUUGAUAACCAAUGUGAUAUUAGUCAAAAAAUUGAGUCUACCCGCAGUAUGUGCAAUAUACUAAAAGAUUACACUAACAAAGUUGAAGAAAGGCUAUCACUUUGUGAGAAGGAUAAAGCUGUGCUGCAGUUACAAGAACAAGAGCGAAUGGAACAAUGCGAAGAUUUGGAAGAGCGAUUUAAAAGUUUAAGCCUUGUACAUGUUGAUAAAGUCAAUAAUCUGAAUAUUCAAUUGGAACUAGAAGAAAAGCAGCACACAGAUGCCAUUGAAAAGUAUCAAGAAAAAUUAGAAGAUUUAGACAAUGAAAUAAAGGUGCUGUCAAAUAAUUGUGAAGAAAAGAAUAACAUGAUUGAUGUUCUGAAUGAGAAGGUGAAUGAGAGACAACUUACCAUAAUUGAUGUACAAACAGAAAAGGAAUCAUUACAGAAAAUGUUAUCUGAGGCAAAAUCUGAACUUGCAACUAAAGUUCAGCAAGUCGAAAUCUUAACAUUGAAUAUGCAAGAAAGCCAGAAGCAGAAGGAAGAACUUAUUUUUGAAAAGACUAAAAUUGAGGAUGAUGUAAGAGAUUUACAAGAAAGAGAAGCAGAACUGUCCAACACAAUCAGAGAACUUUCAGGAAACUUGGAAACGGAAGGCAAAAAAAACAGCUUACUUGAGGAGAACAGUGCUGCUAUAAAAACUGAGAUGACCAAAGAGAAAAUCAAGCUUGAGGAAGAAAUCAGCAGACUUAAUGAAGAACUCAAAAAAGCUAAUAAUGAAAAGCAGCAGAAUAUUUUGACUAUUGAGAAAUACAGAGAAGAGCAGCUCAUCCUUGAGAAGAAAAUAUUGAAUGCCAAUGAUGAGGGUCAGGAUCUUAUAAGACAAAAGGAGAAGCUACAAGUAGAAAUUCAAGAAUGCAGGCAAGCAAUAGAAAAGAAGGAGAUAGAAUUAUGUAGCGGUACCAAAGAACUUAAAGAUGCUUUGGAAAGAGAGAAAGUAUCUUAUGAUAGAAUUGAUUCACUGAAGAAGGAACUUGAACAAAUAAGCACGGAAAAGAGUGUAUUAGAUUCCUCACUUAACACAUUGAAAGAUGAGAGAGAAGAUUUGGAGGCUAAAUUGAAGGCAGAAAUUCAGCUAACAGCUGAAUUAGAAAAUAAUAUUGCGGACCUUGAAAGAAGUAAGAAAAAAUCAGAGAAAAACCUCAAAGCAGCUCUUAAAGAAUCAGAUGAAUUGAGAGAAAACGUAUCAAAUCUGGAUACAAGCAUUCAUGAACACUCCAAGACAAAUGAAAAGCUACAGGAGCAGACAAGCUUGAAUAAAGCUCUACAGUCAGAACUUGAUUCUACUAGCAAGCAAAUCAAGAUUCUAGAAAAGAAGAAUGAAACACUAGAAAAUCAACUAGCUACUAAAUCUAAACAAGUAAAAAACUUGCAACAAGAGACAAAAACACUCAAGAGCAAGGUCACAUCUCAAACUAAACAAAGUAACUCUUUAGAGAAGAAAAUUUCAACUACAGAGGAGACCUGUGAGAAAUACCAUGUUGAAAAUGAAGACCUCCUUAGAAAGAUUUCAGAAAUAGAGAAAAUACUGCAAGAAAAAGAAGAGAUGAUAGAAGCUACUAAAGUCAAGCAUAAUGAAUUAGAAGCAAAAAUGCAACAAACGAUUCAAGAACAUACAGAAGCGAAAAUGAGUUGUGAAAAGGAAAGAGCUGAAGUCAGUAACACAUUGAUAGUGUAUAAGAUGGAAAAUGAAAAUAUAGUUUCAAGGAAAGAUAAAGAAAUAGAGAAACUACACAAGGAGAUAACCUUACUGACAAAGGCAAAAAACGAUCAGUUAUCAAGCCUGCAAAAUUCAUUCAAAGAACAAAAACAGGAAUUGGAGAAAGUUUCUAAAGAUUACAACAAUGCUUUGAAGGAAUCGGAAAAUGACAAGAAAAGGAUAACAGACUUAAUAGAAAAGCAGCUGCAGGAAGAGAAAGACAUAGUGGCAUUGAAACCCAAUUCCAAGAAAAAUCCAACCAAGAUUAAUCUUCCUGGAACUCCGAAGACCCCUCAGAGCAACCUGGUUCAUUCUCAAAGCCCAGUGAAGGCUGACACACCAGUAUACAAAGCUACAAAUCCAGGUCUGGAGCCCAAACCAAAGACACCAACCUCUUACGUUUAUCCAGAAAAGUCACCACAUGGUAUCCUAAAGCCUGGACUAGGCAGUGCCAAGAAGAAACGUGUUAUAUUUGCUGAAAGUGACGAUGAUGGCAGUUGUUCAGAUUCAUCAACCUCACAACUGAUGGAAAUUGAGAUUGAUGAUGUACCACGUGGUACAAAAGAAAAGAAAUCAAGAAGACCAAGUCAAAAGGUUACACCUUUGCGAAUCCGACCAUCACCAAGCAUGAAAAUCCCAGCAAGUGAUGCUUUUGAUGAAGCAAAAAGAAAUGCACUUAAGCCAGUACCCAGGGGUCAAACAAUCACCCAGCAAAGAAAGGUGUUUAGUAGUAACAUUUAAAAAGUAAAAUUCCAAGAAAAUUCUGGAAAGUUUGCAGUUGAAGAAAGUCAAUGGCAUCAGUGUUAUCCAGGAUUACCUGUGGAUGGUGCUAAAAAAAACAAGAAUGCAUCACAGAAGAAAGAAC
Molecule: unclassified non-coding RNA, 3720 nt
Filed under: Anneissia japonica
Lineage: Eukaryota; Metazoa; Echinodermata; Crinoidea; Comatulida; Comatulidae
Description: synaptonemal complex protein 1-like, transcript variant X1
Source: RNAcentral